Molecule: transfer RNA, 72 nt
Filed under: Bos taurus (domestic cattle)
Lineage: Eukaryota; Metazoa; Chordata; Mammalia; Artiodactyla; Bovidae
Also listed under: 5 other names
Rfam family: tRNA
About the family: Transfer RNA (tRNA) molecules are approximately 80 nucleotides in length. Their secondary structure includes four short double-helical elements and three loops (D, anti-codon, and T loops).
Source: Rfam by way of RNAcentral
UCCCAGGUAGCUUAGCUGGUAAAGAAUCUGUCUGCAAUGCAGGAGACCCUGGUUUGAUUCCUGGGUCGAGAA